Long non-coding RNA from Gymnodraco acuticeps, 1526 nucleotides. RefSeq lists it as uncharacterized. The transcript has 2 exons. Lineage: Eukaryota; Metazoa; Chordata; Actinopteri; Perciformes; Bathydraconidae. The record is from RefSeq and is a predicted model, not a curated record.
ACACAGAGUACAAAGAGUACACAAGGUACUGAGAGUAAUACUGCAACCACAGAGUACAAAGAGUACACAAGGUACUGAGAGUAAUACUGCUAACACAGAGUACAAAGAGUACACAAGGUACUGAGAGUAAUACUGCAAACACAGAGUACAAAGAGUACACAAGGUACUGUGAGUAAUACUGCAAACACAGAGUACAAAGAGUACACAAGGUACUGAGAGUAAUACUGCAAACACAGAGUACAAAGAGUACACAAGGUACUGAGAGUAAUACUACAAACACAGAGUACAAAGAGUACACAAGGUACUGAGAGUAAUACUGCAACCAAAGAGUACACAAGGUACUGAGAGUAAUACUGCAAACACAGAGUACAAAGAGUACACAAGGUACUGAGAGUAAUACUGCAAACACAGAGUACAAAGAGUACACAAGGUACUGAGAAUAAUACUGCAAACACAGAGUACAAAGAGUACACAAGGUACUGAGAGUAAUACUGCAAACACAGAGUACAAAGAGUACACAAGGUACUGAGAGUAAUACUGCAAACACAGAGUACAAAGAGUACACAAGGUACUGAGAGUAAUACUGCAAACACAGAGUACAAAGAGUACACAAGGUACUGAGAGUAAUACUGCAAACACAGAGUACAAAGAGUACACAAGGUACUGUGAGUAAUACUGCAAACACAGAGUACAAAGAGUACACAAGGUACUGAGAGUAAUACUGCAAACACAGAGUACAAAGAGUACACAAGGUACUGAGAGUAAUACUGCUAACACAGAGUACAAAGAGUACACAAGGUACUGAGAGUAAUACUUUAAACACAGAGUACAAAGAGUACACAAGGUACUGCGAGUAAUACUGCAAACACAGAGUACAAAGAGUACACAAGGUACUGAGAGUAAUACUGCAAACACAGAGUACAAAGAGUACACAAGGUACUGUGAGUAAUACUGCAAACACAGAGUACAAAGAGUACACAAGGUACUGAGAGUAAUACUGCAAACACAGAGUACAAAGAGUACACAAGGUACUGAGAGUAAUACUGCAAACACAGAGUACAAAGAGUACACAAGGUACUGAGAGUAAUACUGCAAACACAGAGUACAAAGAGUACACAAGGUACUGAGAGUAAUACUGCAAACACAGAGUACAAAGAGUACACAAGGUACUGAGAGUAAUACUGCAAACACAGAGUACAAAGAGUACACAAGGUACUGUGAGUAAUACUGCAAACACAGAGUACAAAGAGUACACAAGGUACUGCGAGUAAUACUGCAAACACAGAGUACAAAGAGUACACAAGGUACUGAGAGUAAUACUGCUAACACAGAGUACAAAGAGUACACAAGGUACUGAGAGUAAUACUUUAAACACAGAGUACAAAGAGUACACAAGGUACUGCGAGUAAUACUGCAAACACAGAGUACAAAGAGUACACAAGGUACUGAGAGUAAUACUGCAAACACAGAGUACAAAGAGUACACAAGGUACUGUGAGUAAUACUGCAAACACAGAGUACAAAGAG